UGAGAAGUAGCGAUAUCAUGUGGUUGCGUGUAUAUCAAAGUACCCAUGGAAUCAUGGAAAACGGUGGGAACGCAUAUGCCCCUUGUGUGGGCCAGGUUUGUAGAGAUGCGUCCGCAGCUUCGCCUUUCGGAUCCGGAAGCCAACUGUAAUAUCUCGGUAGUUGGUGAUUGGUCCUGGAGGCGAACAGAUCUUUCCACCAUCGUAGUUCCUGGAAUAUCUCUUUGUUGAGUUUCCAAUCGCUGUUGUCUCGCCAGUGACGCGAGAACCAGUCCACAGUCAGAUUGGAGAUUCCCGGCAGAUAUUCCGCCUGUAGCGUGAUGUUCCGUGCUAGGCAAAAUCUGUAGAUGUCUUUUUGUGGCUUCUGUCAGAGCUCGUGAUCUGGCUCCGCCCAG
This is a non-coding RNA of Pelobates cultripes (western spadefoot toad), 392 nucleotides long. Lineage: Eukaryota; Metazoa; Chordata; Amphibia; Anura; Pelobatidae. The record is from the annotation of a GenBank genome assembly.